GGGAAGCACCAUGCAGUUUGUAUCCUGGGCCACACUGCUAACGCUCCUGGUGCGGGACCUGGCCGAGAUGGGGAGCCCAGACGCCGCGGCGGCCGUGCGCAAGGACAGGCUGCACCCGAGGCAAGUGAAAUUAUUAGAGACCCUGAGCGAAUACGAAAUCGUGUCUCCCAUCCGAGUGAACGCUCUCGGAGAACCCUUUCCCACGAACGCCCACUUCAAAAGAACGCGACGGAGCAUUAACUCUGCCACUGACCCCUGGCCUGCCUUCGCCUCCUCCUCUUCCUCCUCUACCUCCUCCCAGGCGCAUUACCGCCUCUCCGCCUUCGGCCAGCAGUUUCUAUUUAAUCUCACCGCCAAUGCCGGAUUUAUCGCUCCACUGUUCACUGUCACCCUCCUCGGGACGCCCGGGGUGAAUCAGACCAAGUUUUAUUCCGAAGAGGAAGCGGAACUCAAGCACUGUUUCUACAAAGGCUAUGUCAAUACUAACUCCGAGCACACGGCCGUCAUCAGCCUCUGCUCAGGAAUGCUGGGCACAUUCCGGUCUCAUGAUGGGGAUUAUUUUAUUGAACCACUACAGUCCAUGGAUGAACAAGAAGAUGAAGAGGAACAAAACAAACCCCACAUCAUUUAUAGGCGCAGCGCCCCCCAGAGAGAGCCCUCAACAGGAAGGCAUGCAUGUGACACCUCAGAACACAAAAAUAGGCACCGUAAAGACAAGAAGAAAACCAGAGCAAGAAAAUGGGGAGAAAGGAUUAACCUGGCUGAUGACAUGGCAGCAUUAAACAGCGGCUUAGCAACAGAGGCAUUUUCUGCUUAUGGUAAUAAGACGGACAACACAAGAGAAAAGAGGACCCACAGAAGGACAAAACGUUUUUUAUCCUAUCCACGGUUUGUAGAAGUCUUGGUGGUGGCAGACAACAGAAUGGUUUCAUACCAUGGAGAAAACCUUCAACACUAUAUUUUAACUUUAAUGUCAAUUGUAGCCUCUAUCUAUAAAGACCCAAGUAUUGGAAAUUUAAUUAAUAUUGUUAUUGUGAACUUAAUUGUGAUUCAUAAUGAACAGGAUGGGCCUUCCAUAUCUUUUAAUGCUCAGACAACAUUAAAAAACUUUUGCCAGUGGCAGCAUUCGAAGAACAGUCCAGGUGGAAUCCAUCAUGAUACUGCUGUUCUCUUAACAAGACAGGAUAUCUGCAGAGCUCACGACAAAUGUGAUACCUUAGGCCUGGCUGAACUGGGAACCAUUUGUGAUCCCUACAGAAGCUGUUCUAUUAGUGAAGAUAGUGGAUUGAGUACAGCUUUUACGAUCGCCCAUGAGCUGGGCCACGUGUUUAACAUGCCUCAUGAUGACAACAACAAAUGUAAAGAAGAAGGAGUUAAGAGUCCCCAGCAUGUCAUGGCUCCAACACUGAACUUCUACACCAACCCCUGGAUGUGGUCAAAGUGUAGUCGAAAAUAUAUCACUGAGUUUUUAGACACUGGUUAUGGCGAGUGUUUGCUUAACGAACCUGAAUCCAGACCCUACCCUUUGCCUGUCCAACUGCCAGGCAUCCUUUACAACGUGAAUAAACAAUGUGAAUUGAUUUUUGGACCAGGUUCUCAGGUGUGCCCAUAUAUGAUGCAGUGUAGACGGCUCUGGUGCAAUAACGUCAACGGAGUACACAAAGGCUGCCGGACUCAGCACACACCCUGGGCCGAUGGGACGGAGUGCGAGCCUGGAAAGCACUGCAAGUAUGGAUUUUGUGUUCCCAAAGAAAUGGAUGUCCCUGUGACAGAUGGAUCCUGGGGAAGUUGGAGUCCCUUUGGAACCUGCUCCAGAACAUGUGGAGGAGGCAUCAAAACAGCCAUUCGAGAGUGCAACAGACCAGAACCAAAAAAUGGUGGAAAAUACUGUGUAGGACGUAGAAUGAAAUUUAAGUCCUGCAACACGGAGCCAUGUCUCAAGCAGAAGCGAGACUUCCGAGAUGAACAGUGUGCUCACUUUGACGGGAAGCAUUUUAACAUCAAUGGUCUGCUUCCCAAUGUGCGCUGGGUCCCUAAAUACAGUGGAAUUCUGAUGAAGGACCGGUGCAAGUUGUUCUGCAGAGUGGCAGGGAACACAGCCUACUAUCAGCUUCGAGACAGAGUGAUAGAUGGAACUCCUUGUGGCCAGGACACAAAUGAUAUCUGUGUCCAGGGCCUUUGCCGGCAAGCUGGAUGCGAUCAUGUUUUAAACUCAAAAGCCCGGAGAGAUAAAUGUGGGGUUUGUGGUGGCGAUAAUUCUUCAUGCAAAACAGUGGCAGGAACAUUUAAUACAGUACAUUAUGGUUACAAUACUGUGGUCCGAAUUCCAGCUGGUGCUACCAAUAUUGAUGUGCGGCAGCACAGUUUCUCAGGGGAAACAGAUGAUGACAACUACUUAGCUUUAUCAAGCAGUAAAGGUGAAUUCUUGCUAAAUGGAAACUUUGUUGUCACAAUGGCCAAAAGGGAAAUUCGCAUUGGGAAUGCUGUGGUAGAGUACAGUGGGUCCGAGACUGCCGUAGAAAGAAUUAACUCAACAGAUCGCAUUGAGCAAGAACUUUUGCUUCAGGUUUUGUCGGUGGGAAAGUUAUACAACCCCGACGUACGCUAUUCUUUCAAUAUUCCAAUUGAAGAUAAACCUCAGCAGUUUUACUGGAACAGUCAUGGGCCGUGGCAAGCAUGCAGUAAACCCUGCCAAGGGGAACGGAAACGAAAACUUGUUUGCACCAGGGAAUCUGAUCAGCUUACUGUUUCUGAUCAAAGAUGCGAUCGGCUGCCCCAGCCUGGACCCAUUACUGAACCCUGCGGCACAGACUGUGACCUGAGGUGGCAUGUUGCCAGCAGGAGUGAAUGUAGUGCCCAGUGUGGCUUGGGUUACCGCACAUUGGACAUCUACUGUGCCAAAUAUAGCAGGCUGGAUGGGAAGACCGAGAAGGUUGAUGACGGUUUUUGCAGCAGUCAUCCCAAACCAAGCAACCGUGAAAAAUGCUCAGGGGAAUGUAACACGGGUGGCUGGCGCUAUUCUGCCUGGACUGAAUGUUCUAAAAGCUGUGAUGGUGGGACCCAGAGAAGAAGGGCUAUUUGUGUCAAUAACCGAAAUGAUGUACUGGAUGACAGCAAAUGCACACAUCAAGAGAAAGUUACCAUUCAGAGGUGCAAUGAGUUCCCUUGUCCACGGUGGAAAUCUGGAGACUGGUCAGAGGUAAGAUGGGAGGGCUGUUAUUUCCCCUAGGUCAUCUGUUAUAUUCUAGUUCUGGUGCUGUCUAUUUAAGGCAAACCCUUGUGCACCUUUCUCCCACCUCUCCCUUUCUCCCUUGUCUCCCUUGAGAAAACAACUCCAGUUCUCUGCCUGCACCAUGACUGUCGUACUGGAUGUAACUAGUCUACCAGUGACCUCAGAGGUGCUUUGGGCUUGGCUGGAUCACUCACUGUUGUAGCUUCUGUUGUGAUUUUGAAGUUCCAUUCCAUCACCUUCCCUCCUCUUUGAGCCCUAGCUAAGUCACUGAAAGGAAAUCAUGGAUUUAUUAAUCAUAAAGCUAUACUAGCUCACAUCUGAAGUCAACAUGAAGUUUCCUACUUCCUUGACUUUGAAAUAAGAGAAUUAGACCCCAGGGAGUGACCUCUCUGACUUACCCAUCCAACUGCAAGAAAAAAAAAAUAAAA
RNAcentral lists this small RNA (3660 nucleotides) under Pongo abelii (Sumatran orangutan). Its description in RNAcentral is "retained intron". The record is from RNAcentral. Lineage: Eukaryota; Metazoa; Chordata; Mammalia; Primates; Hominidae.